UAGGUACUCCCUCUGUCCGAAAAUUCUUGUCUUAAAUUUGUCUAGAUACGGAUGUAUCUAAUACUAAAACGUGAUUUGAUACAUCCGUAUUUGGACAAAUCUAAGACAAAAAUUUUAGGACGGAGAAAGUACAAG
This is a non-coding RNA of Triticum aestivum (bread wheat), 135 nucleotides long. The record is from Rfam. NCBI's taxonomy places the organism in Eukaryota, Viridiplantae, Streptophyta, Magnoliopsida, Poales, Poaceae.